AAGAUUCUGUGGUGUACGCGUUGUCUAAACGCAGGUUUGCCUUACAGUCUUUUAAUUUUGGGACUAGUACAUUCGUAACCGGACAACAUGCCUUUUCACUUGGUAGUUGGAAAGUUAACAGUCGUGUCCCACCUGUCUUAAACACAGGUCAACACUGAAUGACAAUUAACGGCACUAACGGAGUUUUC
This 188-nucleotide non-coding RNA is filed under the name Limosilactobacillus frumenti. RNAcentral describes it as "Lactobacillus frumenti 6S RNA". It matches the Rfam family "6S / SsrS RNA". From Rfam's summary of the family: E. coli 6S RNA was the first non coding RNA to be sequenced, but its function was unknown until recently. It consists of 184 nucleotides that fold into an extended hairpin structure with a large single-stranded internal bulge. Lineage: Bacteria; Bacillati; Bacillota; Bacilli; Lactobacillales; Lactobacillaceae. The record is from RNAcentral. RNAcentral also lists the same sequence under 1 other name.